GAUGAACGCUGGCGGCGUGCCUAAUACAUGCAAGUCGAGCGAACAGACGAGGAGCUUGCUCCUCUGACGUUAGCGGCGGACGGGUGAGUAACACGUGGAUAACCUACCUAUAAGACUGGGAUAACUUCGGGAAACCGGAGCUAAUACCGGAUAAUAUAUUGAACCGCAUGGUUCAAUAGUGAAAGACGGUUUUGCUGUCACUUAUAGAUGGAUCCGCGCCGCAUUAGCUAGUUGGUAAGGUAACGGCUUACCAAGGCAACGAUGCGUAGCCGACCUGAGAGGGUGAUCGGCCACCCGGGAACUGAGACACGGUCCAGACUCCUACGGGAGGCAGCAGUAGGGAAUCUUCCGCCAUGGGCGAAAGCCUGACGGAGCAACGCCGCGUGAGUGAUGAAGGUCUUCGGAUCGUAAAACUCUGUUAUUAGGGAAGAACAAAUGUGUAAGUAACUAUGCACGUCUUGACGGUACCUAAUCAGAAAGCCACGGCUAACUACGUG
RNAcentral lists this ribosomal RNA (497 nucleotides) under uncultured bacterium. RNAcentral's name for it is "partial 16S ribosomal RNA". It matches the Rfam family "Bacterial small subunit ribosomal RNA", at positions 28 to 507 of the family's 1533-position model. The record is from RNAcentral.